AAACGAUUGAAGUCAGUCGUACCGGUGGGUAAUCAGCCUUUUGGGUGUGAUUAUGUGGAGCGUGAGGAGCUAAUCACCUUCAUGCCUGCAUAUUCGUGCACUUUGGGUGUACUUGCUCGUGUGGUAGGUUAACAUCAAUUUUGGUCGUCAUAAAAUGGUUGGAGGAAUGUAGCUUCGAUCUCGUAUUGAAGUGUUAUAGCCUUUGGCAGAUGUGAUGAUUGGGAUUGAGGAUUGCAACGAACCCUUCGGGGCUACCUGUCUGAUCUCUGAGAGUUGCUCUGGUG
Molecule: ribosomal RNA, 284 nt
Filed under: Glomeraceae sp.
Lineage: Eukaryota; Fungi; Glomeromycota; Glomeromycetes; Glomerales; Glomeraceae
Description: partial large subunit ribosomal RNA
Source: RNAcentral